Molecule: ribosomal RNA, 490 nt
Filed under: uncultured bacterium
Lineage: Bacteria
Description: partial 16S ribosomal RNA
Rfam family: Bacterial small subunit ribosomal RNA
Source: RNAcentral
AUUGAACGCUGGCGGCAGGCCUAACACAUGCAAGUCGAACGGUAACAGGAAACAGCUUGCUGUUUCGCUGACGAGUGGCGGACGGGUGAGUAAUGUCUGGGAAACCGCCUGAUGGAGGGGGAUAACUACUGGAAACGGUAGCUAAUACCGCAUAACGUCGCAAGACCAAAGAGGGGGACCCUCGGGCCUCUUGCCAUCGGAUGUGCCCAGAUGGGAUUAGCUUGUUGGUGGGGUAACGGCUCACCAAGGCGACGAUCCCUAGCUGGUCUGAGAGGAUGACCAGCCACACUAGAACUGAGACACGGUCCAGACUCCUACGGGAGGCAGCAGUGGGGAAUAUUGCACAAUGGGCGCAAGCCUGAUGCAGCCAUGCCGCGUGUAUGAAGAAGGCCUUCGGGUUGUAAAGUACUUUCAGCGGGGAGGAAGGGAGUAAAGUUAAUACCUUUGCUCAUUGACGUUACCCGCAGAAGAAGCACCGGCUAACUCCGUG